CGGCGGACGGGUGAGUAACGCGUGGGUAACCUGCCUCAUACAGGGGGAUAACAGUUGGAAACGACUGCUAAUACCGCAUAAGCGCACAGUACCGCAUGGUACAGUGUGGAAAACUCCGGUGGUAUGAGAUGGACCCGCGUCUGAUUAGCUAGUUGGUGGGGUAACGGCCUACCAAGGCGACGAUCAGUAGCCGACCUGAGAGGGUGACCGGCCACAUUGGGACUGAGACACGGCCCAA
This 238-nucleotide ribosomal RNA is filed under the name uncultured bacterium. RNAcentral's name for it is "partial 16S ribosomal RNA". It matches the Rfam family "Bacterial small subunit ribosomal RNA", at positions 96 to 334 of the family's 1533-position model. The record is from RNAcentral.